GGUUUGUGGGUAUUACGACGUGUGCUACCGUGUGUUACCAGUUACCGUCCAGGGGUUCACAAAACCCAUGAAAAAACGCCUAGACGCCGAUACCUGCCCGACAACAUUUGUCUGUCCACUGAUUGCACGACGUGUAUAGUUUACCGGACGGCACAAUAUAGUAAUAAUAACAAUAAUGUACACACACCGUAAAAACGUUACUAAAUAACACGGUGUAGUCGUA
Molecule: non-coding RNA, 223 nt
Organism: Cinara cedri
Lineage: Eukaryota; Metazoa; Arthropoda; Insecta; Hemiptera; Aphididae
Source: the annotation of a GenBank genome assembly